RNAcentral lists this ribosomal RNA (465 nucleotides) under uncultured bacterium. RNAcentral describes it as "partial 16S ribosomal RNA". It matches the Rfam family "Bacterial small subunit ribosomal RNA", at positions 29 to 507 of the family's 1533-position model. The record is from RNAcentral.
ACGAACGCUGGCGGCGUGCUUAACACAUGCAAGUCGAACGAUGAAGCCUAGCUUGCUGGGUGGAUUAGUGGCGAACGGGUGAGUAACACGUGAGUAACCUGCCCCUUACUCUGGGAUAAGCGCUGGAAACGGCGUCUAAUACUGGAUAUUACCUUUCAUCGCAUGGUGUUUGGUGGUAAGAUUUUUCGGUUUGGGAUGGACUCGCGGCCUAUCAGCUUGAUGGUGAGGUAGUGGCUCACCAUGGCGACGACGGGUAGCCGGCCUGAGAGGGUGACCGGCCACACUGGGACUGAGACACGGCCCAGACUCCUACGGGAGGCAGCAGUGGGGAAUAUUGCACAAUGGGCGCAAGCCUGAUGCAGCAACGCCGCGUGAGGGAUGACGGCCUUCGGGUUGUAAACCUCUUUUAGUAGGGAAGAAGCGUAAGUGACGGUACCUACAGAAAAAGCACCGGCUAACUACGUG